GCACCGCGGGAAAACGUGCAGACCAAAGCACGUACACCUAUAGGGUCGGCCUUCUGAGAGGUUCUCUGUCAUGCGGAUUUCAGUGCUGCAUGCACUCCACUAAAGAAUCCGUGUCAAUGUCGGAAACGAGUAACGUUACGCGCAGCGAAUGCUCCGUUAGGACGGAGAAAACUCAUCUAGUCCGCAAGCCACGCAUCGGUCGUAUGCCUCUUGUGCUCGUUUCUGCCUGAAUCGAGACCAGACAAGAUCACGAUAGGAACAGGUGAAGGCUGCUCUUCGUCGGUGACUCUUAUCCAAGUGUUCUUCCUUGAUUGUACGGAAUCUGUGCCCUUCGAUCAAAAUGGCAGCGGCGUAGCCAAAUCGAGAAAUGGGCAUGAGCGCCGCCUUGGUAUCAGAUUUACCCGCCAUGGGUCCUUCCCGCCGUUGACGCGCACCUAGCGUCGCUCGUACUCUCCUCUGUGCAAUGGGAGGGGCGCGAAGCAGGAAUGGACCGAGAGUGUAUGGCGACGGCACAGACAAGCAAGGUUGCGAAAGUUUCUGUUGAUGUCUGACACAAGAAACACGAAAGCAAAUAAAGGCCAUUAUGAAACAGGUGGCGUAUUACGAGUUGGAGGGCUUUGAAAACAUGUUUCUCUUUUCGCUAGCGUUCUGGGCACGAUUGCCCUUUCCUGCACGCAUGUAUCAUCAACACACGCAGUAAGGCGGAAUGCAAUCCACUCAAAGUUCCCCGCACGAAGGUAGCAACGCGCAUCGUACCCUCUCGCCCAGUUGACACGCGCGCAUGGCUGUGUGCAUUCCCUCACCUGCGGCGACAACAACUUACUCGCCGAAGGAAACAAAACACCAAUACUGUUAUCCCUACGUCCCGGUUCGAGGAUAUUGCUAGGCGCACUGCACCAAGGUUACGCCCUGGUGAGAAGGGCUGUGGGG
Molecule: unclassified non-coding RNA, 930 nt
Filed under: Leishmania donovani
Lineage: Eukaryota; Euglenozoa; Kinetoplastea; Trypanosomatida; Trypanosomatidae
Description: gene:unknown
Source: RNAcentral